AAGUCGUAACAAGGUUUCCGUAGGUGAACCUGCGGAAGGAUCAUUACUGAGGGGCUUCGGCCCCGUCAAGAUACCACCCCUUGCAUUUUGAGUACCUCUGUUUCCUCGGCGGGCCCGCCCGCCAAUGGGGACCAUAACAAACCCUUCUGUAGUUGCAGUAAACGUCAAAAACAAAAUAAAAUCAAAACUUUCAACAACGGAUCUCUUGGUUCUG
This 214-nucleotide unclassified non-coding RNA is filed under the name air metagenome. RNAcentral's name for it is "partial contains small subunit ribosomal RNA, internal transcribed spacer 1, and 5.8S ribosomal RNA". The stretch from base 1 to 46 matches the Rfam family "Eukaryotic small subunit ribosomal RNA", at positions 1786 to 1831 of the family's 1831-position model. The record is from RNAcentral.